This is an RNA transcript of Sorghum bicolor (sorghum), 2495 nucleotides long. It is a transcript of the gene named pentatricopeptide repeat-containing protein At1g09410, with no coding region annotated. The transcript is spliced from 3 exons. The record is from RefSeq and is a predicted model, not a curated record. NCBI's taxonomy places the organism in Eukaryota, Viridiplantae, Streptophyta, Magnoliopsida, Poales, Poaceae.
AUUGGGGGCAAUUUGACUUGACUCGAAUUCGGUUUGCACUCCCCUCCAAACUCCGCAUGCUCCCGCUCCGUGGCUCCGCCUCCCUCGCCGCCCGCCGCCUCCUCCGCGACAACCAGCGCAUCAGCGCCCUCGCCCGCGCGGGCGAUGUCGCCGCGGCGCGCCGGGUGUUCGACGCCAUGCCGCACCGUGACGUCGUCUCCUGGAACGCGCUCCUCACCGCGCUCUGGCGCGCCGGCCGCCACCACCUCCCAGCCGCUCGCCGCCUCUUUGACGAGGCCAUGCCCUCCCGCGACGUCGUCUCCUGGAACUCAAUCAUCGCCGGAUGCCUCGCGCACGGGGACUUGGACGCUGCCUCCGCCUACUUCGCCGGCGCCCCGAAGCGCAACGUGGCCACGUGGAACGCCAUGCUCGCGGGGCUCCUCAGGCUCGGCCGAGCGGAUGACGCCGACAGGCUGUUCGGAGAAAUGCCAAAGAGGAACGUGGUGUCGUACACAACCAUGGUGGACGGGCUCGCACGGCGCGGUGAGGUGGCGAGGGCGCGGGAGGUGUUUGACGCAAUGCCAGAUAGGAAUUUGGUGUCUUGGGCCGCCAUGAUCAGUGGGUACGUUGAGAACGGCAUGUUUGUCGAGGCAACGAAAUUGUUUGAAGCGAUGCCCGAGAAGAAUGUUGUGGCGUGCACUGCGAUGAUCACUUCAUACUGCAAACAGGGGGAUGUGGAGAGCGCUAGGAGGCUGUUUGAUGGGAUUCGUGCCAAGGAUGUCAUCUCCUGGAAUACCAUGAUUGCUGGAUAUGUUCACAAUGGACACGGUGAAGAAGCCAUGAGAUUGCAUGCUGUAAUGUUCAGAGAAGGUGUAAAACCAGAUCAUGCGACUCUUAUUGCAGUCCUGACAGCUUGUUCUGCUCUUGCUUUGCUCAGACAAGGAAAAUCCACACAUGCUAUUGCCAUCAAAGCAAUGCUAGAAUCGGGCAUCUCUUUUUCUAAUGCAUUGAUGACAAUGUACAGUAAAUGCGGCAAUGUGGGUGAGUCAGAGUUAGUCUUCAUCAAUCUUAGAACCAAGGAUAUUGUUUCUUGGAACACAAUAAUUGCUGCAUAUGCACAACAUGGAAAAUAUCAGAAAGUUAUAGCACUGUUCCAUGAGAUGGAAAUGACUGGACUUAUUCCCGAUGAUAUCACCUUCCUUAGUGUAUUAUCGGCAUGCGGGCAUGUUGGCAAGGUGGAUGCCAGCUUGAAAUUGUUUGAUCUGAUGUCAUCUAAAUACGCCAUAUCCCCAAGAGCUGAACACUACGCUUGUAUUGUGGAUAUAUUGAGCCGAGCAGGACAAUUGGAGAAAGCUUCUAGUUAUAUAAAAGAUAUGCCAUUAGAAGCUGAGAAAAAUGUAUGGGGUUCUUUGCUUGGAGCAUGUCAGAUGCAUGGUAACGUGCAGCUCGGUGAACUUGCUGCUAAGAUGCUUGUUCAGUCAGACUCUGAAAGUUCAGGUCCUUAUGUGAUUCUUUCGAAUAUAUAUGCUGCUGCUGGCAUGUGGGGUCAAGUCAAUCAAGUAAGAGGUCAGAUGAAAGAAAGAGGUGUAAAGAAACAACCUGGAUACAGUUGGACUGAGAUUGCAAAUGAAGUUCAUAUGUUUGUGGGUGGAGAUGCAUCUCAUCCAGAGAUGAGAAAGAUCAUAUCUGAGCUGAGAAAAAUCAGCUUUCAUAUGCGAAUGGUCACCAAUGAAGCUCAUAUAAUGGUAGAGCUGGCACAAGAAUGUGGUCACUUUUCAUAAUCAUAAGCGCUCAUGCCUUUUGAAACAUCCACUCUACACAGUAUCCUAUGAGUUCAAAGAUCAUUUUUUUUGGAGUACAGGCGUGUUUGGAUUCUUUACAUGUUACUGGGUCGCCUAGGUGGGCAAGGGGUUCAUGUGGAAUCAGAGUUUGGUUCCCUGGUUAGCAUUGCCUUGGUGGUGCCUGUGCUUUCCAGAUUUUCCUUGCUAACAAGAAUGAGCCAAUGCUGCUCGCCUUCGUGGGCAAGGUUAUGCUUGCCUGGCAAAGCUAGCUGUACAACUAAACUUGCCCUCAACUCGGCAAAAUGGAAUUCCAACAAUCCAGCAUGUCCUCUAAUCAGACAAGUUUAGUGGUUAUUGUAAUGAUGACACUGGAUUCUUUGCGAUAGAAGAAAAGGACUCAAGUUUUGAAAACUUGAUGGUUGGAGCUGCAAAUUAGAAUGAACAAUUCUUAAAGGUUUCACAGCAACAUCGAGGAAAACUGCAUAUUACCUAAAGGAAAGUGAAUCCGGUUCUUCAGACAGUGUCAUACUGGCCCUCCAUGGACCUCUGUAGUUUUCCUUGAACUUCAAUGAAAUACUUUUUGCGGUUUUACUUAGGCCUAUUGAGAUGGUGGGGGAUUCCAGUGCUCCAUAGAUCACAGACACACAUAAUUAACUUGUAAAUAUGCUCUCUGGAGAACCUUGACACAAGUUCUUUCAAUCUCCUCAUUAACUGUAUUAAUCAACGUAUUUCCCA